This 465-nucleotide ribosomal RNA is filed under the name uncultured bacterium. RNAcentral's name for it is "partial 16S ribosomal RNA". It matches the Rfam family "Bacterial small subunit ribosomal RNA", at positions 338 to 795 of the family's 1533-position model. The record is from RNAcentral.
CCUACGGGUGGCAGCAGUGGGGAAUAUUGCGCAAUGGGCGAAAGCCUGACGCAGCGACGCCGCGUGAGGGAUGAAGGUCUUCGGAUUGUAAACCUCUGUCAGCAGGGAAGAACGGUCACUGUGCUAAUCAGCAGUGAAUUGACGGUACCUGCAAAGGAAGCACCGGCUAACUCCGUGCCAGCAGCCGCGGUAAUACGGAGGGUGCGAGCGUUAAUCGGAAUUACUGGGGGGAAAGCGCGCGUAGGCGGUAUGUCAAGUCAAGGGUGAAAUCCCCGCGCUCAACGUGGGAACUGCGUUUGAAACUGGCAGACUGGAGUGUGUGAGAGGAUGGUGGAAUUCCAGGUGUAGGAGUGAAAUCCGUAGAUAUCUGGAGGAACAUCAGUGGCGAAGGCGACUAUCUGGCACAUAACUGACGCUGAGGAGCGAAAGCGUGGGGAGCAAACAGGAUUAGAUACCCGGGUAGUC